This 205-nucleotide long non-coding RNA is filed under the name Musa acuminata (dwarf banana). Its description in RNAcentral is "long non-coding RNA (MACU_LNC009567)". The record is from RNAcentral. Lineage: Eukaryota; Viridiplantae; Streptophyta; Magnoliopsida; Zingiberales; Musaceae.
UGAAAAAGGAAGAUCUUUUUUAACACUUGCAAGGAUUUGAUUCACAUACAUAUCUUGAUCCUUGCAAAAAUGAAGUGUGAUUUAAUCUCUUAUCGAUUUUAACUUCAUUCAAGUAAGCUCACAAAUGGCUUUCCUCCUUCAUACAAAAAGAUAAUGACAAAUAAAAAGGAAGAAGUAAUGAAAGCUAUCUCCAUGUCAUGUUUUC